UGGAGUUUUGAUCCCUGGCUCCAGAUUGAACGCUGGCGGCAGGCUUAACACAUGCAAGUCGAGCGGUAACAGGAGAAGCUUGCUUCUCGCUGACGAGCGGCGGACGGGUGAGUAAUACUUUAGGAAUCUACCUAGUAGUGGGGGAUAGCUCGGGGAAACUCGAAUUAAUACCGCAUACGACCUACGGGAGAAAGGGGGCAACUUGUUGCUCUCGCUAUUAGAUGAGCCUAAGUCGGAUUAGCUAGAUGGUGGGGUAAAGGCCUACCAUGGCGACGAUCUGUAGCUGGUCUGAGAGGAUGAUCAGCCACACCGGGACUGAGACACGGCCCGGACUCCUACGGGAGGCAGCAGUGGGGAAUAUUGGACAAUGGGGGCAACCCUGAUCCAGCCAUGCCGCGUGUGUGAAGAAGGCCUUUUGGUUGUAAAGCACUUUAAGCAGUGAAGAAGACUCCAUGGUUAAUACCCAUGGACGAUGCA
Molecule: ribosomal RNA, 477 nt
Filed under: Psychrobacter sp. pj26
Lineage: Bacteria; Pseudomonadati; Pseudomonadota; Gammaproteobacteria; Moraxellales; Moraxellaceae
Description: bacterial SSU rRNA
Rfam family: Bacterial small subunit ribosomal RNA
Source: RNAcentral